GGCACAGACCCCGGAUUGUUUUGCACUUUCACCACACUGGGUCAUGGUUUUCAAACAGGAAUAGCAGUCGUGGAAUUUAUUAUCUCCAGCAUCACUUGUUAAAUUUUACACUAUGCAAAUGAUAUAUAAAGUAUACUGAAGGGGAAGCUACGGAAUAUGGAAUGAGCGAGGCCUGUUAAGUGAAGGGACAGAUGGACUUCGCAGAGCGCUAAUGGAGGGACCUCUGCACCAUCAGUGGGAUGAACACAGUCCCCCUCUGCGGGUCCGGAAUAGGGCGAGGGGGCUGGUAACGAGAGCCGGCUCUGUCUACACGAGUCCUGUAACAUGGUUGGAAAGUUGAAACACACAUCUAUUUCAUUGGAAAACCCCUGGCAGAUAGCCUAGUUAAUUUCCCUGAACAAUUUCAGUAUUUAUUCGGUAGGAUUUUAAAUAGUCCCAAGCACACACAGUCUUCCUGAAAUGA
This 463-nucleotide long non-coding RNA is filed under the name Bos taurus (domestic cattle). Its description in RNAcentral is "long non-coding RNA NONBTAT012794". Lineage: Eukaryota; Metazoa; Chordata; Mammalia; Artiodactyla; Bovidae. The record is from RNAcentral.